RNAcentral lists this unclassified non-coding RNA (405 nucleotides) under soil metagenome. Its description in RNAcentral is "partial contains 5.8S ribosomal RNA, internal transcribed spacer 2, and large subunit ribosomal RNA". The stretch from base 1 to 121 matches the Rfam family "5.8S ribosomal RNA", at positions 35 to 154 of the family's 154-position model. The record is from RNAcentral.
GAUGAAGAACGUAGCGAAAUGCGAUAAGUAAUGUGAAUUGCAGAAUUCAGUGAAUCAUCGGAUCUUUGAACGCACCUUGCGCCCUUUGGCCAUUCCGAAGGGCACGCCUGUUUGAGUAUCAUGAACACCUCAACUCUUUAUGGUUUUCCAUGAUGAGCUUGGACUCUGGGGGUUUUGCUGGCUCACAGUCGGCUCCUCUAAAAUGAAUCAGCUUACCAGUGUUUGGUGGGUAUCAUGGGUGUGAUAACUAUCUACGCUUGUGGUUUUUCCACCAGGUAACCUUCAGCAGUGGAGGUUCGCUGGAGCUCAUAGAUGUCUCUCCUCAGUGAGGACAGCCCUUUGAAUGUUUGAUCUCAAAUCAGGUAGGACUACCCGCUGAACUUAAGCAUAUCAAUAAGCGGAGGA